This 309-nucleotide long non-coding RNA is filed under the name Brassica napus (rape). RNAcentral describes it as "long non-coding RNA (BNAP_LNC026180)". Lineage: Eukaryota; Viridiplantae; Streptophyta; Magnoliopsida; Brassicales; Brassicaceae. The record is from RNAcentral.
UUAUACCCCCAUGCAAUUAACAAAUUACAAACUCAAACCUAAAAUCAUUUUAUCAUUCAUGAAAAACGACAAAACCAUAAAAAAACAUUUUCCCACCAAAACUACAAACACAAUUUUCCGCCAAAACCACAAAACACAAUUUUUGGCCAAAAUCGCAAUUUUCUCGUAAAAAUGUAAUUCCCGCCAAAACAGCUUUUCCCAUCAAAACACAUUUUACAGCAAAAACUGUAAAAACUGCAAAAACACAUUUUCCCGCCAAUACCGCAAAAUCGCGUUUUCCCGCUAAAACCACAAAAACGUGUUUCCUGC